Molecule: long non-coding RNA, 328 nt
Organism: Leptinotarsa decemlineata (Colorado potato beetle)
Lineage: Eukaryota; Metazoa; Arthropoda; Insecta; Coleoptera; Chrysomelidae
Source: RefSeq, a predicted model, not a curated record
AUUUAUAGCAGUUUAUUCAGAAACGAUAAACAUUGUGCCGGUCUUCGAGCGGAUAUACUAAUAGUGCACAUUUCUAGAUUCUCAAGAGUUUGUUCGAAAUGACGGAAUAAUUUCAAAGGUGUGACCGAUCGUAUGACACACUGGAUUUAUAUAUUCGUGUGAUUUAGAUAUCACAGACGAACAAAAUGGAGAAGAUACUGAUGAAGAUGAGAGUGAUGCUAGCAGCGACAAUGAUGAAUAUUUGUCUGAUGAGUCAGAUGAAAAUAUUUUUUUUCUUUUUUAAUGUGAAAAUACUAGUUUUUAUGUAUGUUAAUUAUUUUUUCAUGUA